ACUAGGUAACACCUACGGGAGGCUGCAGUAGGGAAUUUUCGUCAAUGGGCGCAAGCCUGAACGAGCAAUGCCGCGUGAGCGAAGAAGGUCUUCGGAUCGUAAAGCUCUGUUGAGAGGGAAAAAGGGUCACCAGAGGAAAUGCUGGUGAAGUGAUAUUACCUUUCGAGGAAGUCACGGCUAACUACGUGCCAGCAGCCGCGGUAAUACGUAGGUGGCGAGCGUUAUCCGGAAUGAUUGGGCGUAAAGGGUGCGUAGGCGGCCUGCUAAGUCUGGAGUGAAAGGUACCGGCUCAACCGGUACAGGCUCUGGAAACUGGCGGGCUAGAGAGCAGGAGAGGGCGGCGGAACUCCAUGUGUAGCGGUAAAAUGCGUAGAGAUAUGGAAGAACACCAGUGGCGAAGGCGGCCGCCUGGCCUGUUGACUGACGCUCAGGCACGAAAGCGUGGGGAGCAAAUAGGAUUAGAUACCCUAGUAGUCCACGCCGUAAACGAUGAGGACCAAGUGUUGCAUGAAAUGCGUGCUGCAGUUAACGCAGUGAGUCCUCCGCCUGGGGAGUAUGCACGCAAGUGUGAAACUUAAAUGAAUUGGCGGGG
This 592-nucleotide ribosomal RNA is filed under the name Escherichia coli. RNAcentral's name for it is "bacterial SSU rRNA". It matches the Rfam family "Bacterial small subunit ribosomal RNA", at positions 326 to 918 of the family's 1533-position model. The record is from RNAcentral. Lineage: Bacteria; Pseudomonadati; Pseudomonadota; Gammaproteobacteria; Enterobacterales; Enterobacteriaceae.